This is a ribosomal RNA of Cercocebus atys (sooty mangabey), 119 nucleotides long. The record is from Ensembl. NCBI's taxonomy places the organism in Eukaryota, Metazoa, Chordata, Mammalia, Primates, Cercopithecidae.
AUCUAUGGCCAUAACACCCUGAACACGCCUGAUCUCUUCUGAUAUCGGAAGCUUAGCAGGGUCAGACCUGUUUAGUACUUGGAUGGGAGACCACCUGGAAAUACUGGGCGCUGUAGGCU